This 775-nucleotide ribosomal RNA is filed under the name uncultured bacterium. RNAcentral's name for it is "bacterial SSU rRNA". It matches the Rfam family "Bacterial small subunit ribosomal RNA", at positions 28 to 776 of the family's 1533-position model. The record is from RNAcentral.
GACGAACGCUGGCGGCGUGCCUAAUACAUGCAAGUCGAACGCUUUGAUUUUCACCGGAGCUUGCUCCACCGAAAAUCAAAGAGUGGCGGACGGGUGAGUAACACGUGGGCAACCUGCCCAACAGAGGGGGAUAACACUUGGAAACAGGUGCUAAUACCGCAUAAUUUGUUUUUCCGCAUGGAAGAAUAAUAAAAGACGCUUCGGUGUCACUGUUGGAUGGGCCCGCGCUGCAUUAGUUAGUUGGUGGGGUAACGGCCUACCAAGACCAUGAUGCAUAGCCGACCUGAGAGGGUGAUCGGCCACACUGGGACUGAGACACGGCCCAGACUCCUACGGGAGGCAGCAGUAGGGAAUCUUCGGCAAUGGACGAAAGUCUGACCGAGCAACGCCGCGUGAGUGAAGAAGGUUUUCGGAUCGUAAAACUCUGUUGUUAGAGAAGAACAAGUGAGAGAGUUACUGUUCUCACCUUGACGGUAUCUAACCAGAAAGCCACGGCUAACUACGUGCCAGCAGCCGCGGUAAUACGUAGGUGGCAAGCGUUGUCCGGAUUUAUUGGGCGUAAAGCGAGCGCAGGCGGUUUCUUAAGUCUGAUGUGAAAGCCCUCGGCUCAACCGAGGAAGGUCAUUGGAAACUGGGGAACUUGAGUGCAGAAGAGGAGAGUGGAAUUCCAUGUGUAGCGGUGAAAUGCGUAGAUAUAUGGAGGAACACCAGUGGCGAAGGCGACUCUCUGGUCUGUAACUGACGCUGAGGCUCGAAAGCGUGGGAAGCAAACAGG